AUUGCGAUCUUUAUCAUGUGACAACUUUGAUGAUGUGAUCCAUUCGUGGGAAAGUCGUGGAACUUAAGUUGUUUAGAAAGGGCGUUAGGCAAACAUGAAGCAUUGUUUUUAUUAAAAACUGAAAAUCAUUCUGUUAUAGCGGGAGCGCGGAAUUUCCUGUCGUUGAAAUAUAUAUGGAAACGGACUGUGGCUAUGUAAACUGGAAACAUGACAGACAGGAAAUAAAAGAACGCGUUAGGUAUAAGAAAAUCACUUUACUAUUAAAACGAUAUCUUUCUCCUUUUUCGAUUUCUCUAAAACUGAAAGAAACGUUACCGAAUUUAUGGCAAAAGAUGACCUUUUCCCAACUACAUCAAAGUCAUGAAUACACGGAAUCAUUUCUCGAUACAAAAGGAAAUGUCAUUCUAAGCAGAAGGAACGAAACUGCUAGCUUUAAAUCUCAUUUUCAACAACUGAUUAUGAUAUAGGAAAGAUUUCUAAGAGCCUUGACAGACAUGUUGCGACUUAACUGAAAGAAUUUGAGCCUUGUAAGAUAUUAUAUAAAAGCUCUUACAUUUUUUUAAGUAAAUUAUUUUAAAUGGAUAUUCUGUAGAAUAAUGCCUGCACAAAAAUGGCCUGAAUAUUUUGGCAUGCUUUUUUGAAUAAAUAAAGCCAGCACUCCACACAAUGAAAAGAGCUCUCAAACAGGCCGAAAAGUUUGGAAAAGACGAAAAGACGGAAAUUCAGAUAUUCAAUAUAAAAUAUUCUGUAUUGAAAUCAACGAGCAUAGAGAGAUUAUCCUGUCUCAAUAAAAAAACACGUAAAAAAAAUAUUUUAUCUGUCACAAGUGCAAUAAUAGCUGGGUUUUUUUUCGCAUGAAGACAUAGCUCUUUCAACAAGAUUGAAAUUAAAGAUUUGCAUGACACAAAAUAUAACUAUGAUGGGUUUCGCACCAAAAGAAUCGACAAAAAACGAUUAACAUGUUGAAAUAUGAAAGGUAUUUUGAAACGACAGUAAUCGUCGUGAACUACAAAGGAUCGAAAAACGCGACGUACUCAAUUCCCAUAAAUGCCAUACAUAAACAGAUGAAGCUUUGGAUUGUCUUGUGGUCUUAAUUUGGUAGUGGAAUUUCAAUUUUGAUUGUUUUUCAAGAAAUGUAUGUUUUCAUAACUGAA
Long non-coding RNA from Xenia sp. Carnegie-2017, 1154 nucleotides. RefSeq lists it as uncharacterized. Lineage: Eukaryota; Metazoa; Cnidaria; Anthozoa; Malacalcyonacea; Xeniidae. The record is from RefSeq and is a predicted model, not a curated record. The transcript has 2 exons.